CCUACGGGUUGCAGCAGUGGGGAAUAUUGCACGAUGGGCGCAAGCCUGAUGCAGCCAUGCCGCGUGUAUGAAGAGGGCCUUCGGGUUGUAAAGUACUUUCAGCGGGGAGGAAGGCGAUAAGGUUAAUAACCUUGUCGAUUGACGUUACCCGCAGAAGAAGCACCGGCUAACUCCGUGCCAGCAGCCGCGGUAAUACGGAGGGUGCAAGCGUUAAUCGGAAUUACUGGGCGUAAAGCGCACGCAGGCGGUCUGUCAAGUCGGAUGUGAAAUCCCCGGGCUCAACCUGGGAACUGCAUUUGAAACUGGCAAGCUAGAGUCUCGUAGAGGGGGGUAGAAUUCCAGGUGUAGCGGUGAAAUGCGUAGAGAUCUGGAGGAAUACCGGUGGCGAAGGCGGCCCCCUGGACGAAGACUGACGCUCAGGUGCGAAAGCGUGGGGAGCAAACAGGAUUAGAUACCCGGGUAGUC
This 465-nucleotide ribosomal RNA is filed under the name uncultured bacterium. Its description in RNAcentral is "bacterial SSU rRNA". It matches the Rfam family "Bacterial small subunit ribosomal RNA", at positions 338 to 795 of the family's 1533-position model. The record is from RNAcentral.